UACAGAGGUCUCAAGCGUUGUUCGGAUUCAUUGGGCGUAAAGGGUGCGUAGGUGGCCUGUUAAGUCGGAUGUGAAAUCCCGGGGCUCAACCCCGGAACUGCAUUCGAUACUGCUGCGCUAGAGUACUGGAGAGGAGAUUGGAAUUUACGGUGUAGCAGUGAAAUGCGUAGAUAUCGGAAGGAAGACCAGUGGCGAAGGCGGAUCUCUGGACAGUUACUGACACUGAGGCACGAAGGCCAGGGGAGCAAACGGG
Molecule: ribosomal RNA, 253 nt
Filed under: uncultured bacterium
Lineage: Bacteria
Description: partial 16S ribosomal RNA
Rfam family: Bacterial small subunit ribosomal RNA
Source: RNAcentral